Cherax quadricarinatus is the source of this 120-nucleotide non-coding RNA. The record is from RefSeq and is a predicted model, not a curated record. Lineage: Eukaryota; Metazoa; Arthropoda; Malacostraca; Decapoda; Parastacidae.
GGGGGCUCCUUCGGGGGGGCCCCAAGAAGUGGGUCCUCUCCCUCAGAGCCCCAGAAAAGUGGGGGCUCUCCUCAGGGGAGCCCCAAAAAGUAGGUCUCUCUCUAGGGGGCCCCAAAAAAG